Stegostoma tigrinum is the source of this 128-nucleotide small nucleolar RNA. The record is from RefSeq and is a predicted model, not a curated record. NCBI's taxonomy places the organism in Eukaryota, Metazoa, Chordata, Chondrichthyes, Orectolobiformes, Stegostomatidae.
AAGCACAACUAAGUGUCUUGGUGCCUUGUCUGUGGCCUUCCAAGCCUCAUUCUUGUGCGAGAUCAAGUUCCAGUUUACAGAAGGACUGCGCAUUUGUAGCUUAUCCCUUUCGAAGGCUGGGGACAAUU